ACCUCAGCUCAAUAAUUACUAUAUGAUUGAAAAAAUGAAUGACGGUAAAUCAGCAAACCACAUGUGCUUGGCGACACAUGCUUCAGAUGUUAUCAAUUUAUUUCACAACUUUUUGCAAAGGAUAUGUCGAAGACUACAUACUUUAUUAUAUGAGAGUGGACUUGAUUCAAAUUUUUGUACAUAAUUUUUUUGUGUAUUUUUAGUGUUUCAUUAUACAUUUUUUUGUGGGGAUAUAGAUAAAGCUACGUACGUAAAUGUACUUGUCUCCAGUUUUUUACACCAUUUUUAGUGUUUUUGGGGUUAUACCUAUUUCAGUGGAGUGAUGUAAACACGAAUGAACUAGUCAGAACAAGAUGUCGUUGCAUUACCUCAACGUCACGCUAGAUAGCACUGUCAAUAUAUCCAUGUCCCACAUCUUAAUGCCAGCUUUGCCGACCGCUAAAUGGAUUCAUAUGUUUCGGGUGGAGUACACGCAAAUGUAUGUCAUAAGAAGUCAUUAAAUCGAAAUUCACCGUAUUCGUGUAUAUUUACGCAGUUUAUCUGCGCUUCAAACACAUGGUAGAAGGUGGAUUUGUCAGAUGAAUACGCGAAUUUUAUUAGCAACAUGAGUGGUAAUUAAUUUUUGUGUAAAGAAUUCCAAUUUUUGAAUAAUCUUUAGUUAAUUUCAAAAAAGUGAAUACCCAAAUUCCUGUGCUUGUGAGACAGAGGAAACUGUUAGCUAGGAUAUGCUAUUCACGGUGUAGAGUGUGCGUGUACUCACAUGCGUGACUGGCUGAAAGCAAAACUGAUAUACGCUGUCUCUUUUGUUCAGCACCAUGAUUGGACGGCUCAUCGAGCCAGGAGAGCGCUCGGCUAAUCACGGUGCAGAGCAAGAAAGACACAGUGCAUCGGUUCUAAGAUCCGACUGGCCCGCUACCAAUAUUUUCCCUUCAUUACUACUGUACAUUAUUCUUAUAGCGUUUUCCACUGGUAGCACUGAGGCCGUGUACGAAAAUUGACUGACCGUACUGUCAGCAAUCUUCCAUCUCUUUUGUGCUUCCGAGUUCGUGAAUAGCUUUGACUCUGUCCUAAGGAAUUUUCAGUACUGUCAGUCAAUUUACGAACACGGCCUGAGUGUGAACUGAGAGCGCACUAGCGGUAGACUCGUAUUUCCAGCGUGUUCCAUUCACUGAUAUACAUAUACACUGGAUUGGAUUAAGCGUGGUGCCGUCACGCCAAUUGAACGGUAGCCAUUUUGUACAGAUUCUUGUCACUUCAGAUAUAUAUAUAUAUACGUGAUAUAUGUAUGCGUAUAUAAUCGAUUGCGAUGGAAAAUUACAGUAACAAUUAUUGAGGUAACAAUGAGUACCUGCGUUUUUUGCAAAACAAAGCAAUCAAAAUAUAGUGGGCGAUCAUUUCACAAAUUUCCUGUGAAAGAUGUGUUGCGCGUUCAGCAUUGGUUAGAAGAAAUGAAGAGGAAGGACUGGAAGCCAAACCGAAAUAGCACAUUGUGUUCAGCUCAUUUUACAAAUGAUUGCUUUGAUAGGACAGGAUUCCUAAUUACAUUGAAAAAGAACAGUGUACCAACUAUAUUUGACAACCCAAAAUCAGAGUGUUCAUCUUGUCACCGAUUAAGGGAAUGUUGACAUGGCUAUUCAUUGUUCAAGUUCCCAUUGGAUGCACCUGAUAUUAUGAAGCAGUGGAUCGCAAAUAUAAACAUUGGACCGUGGUCUCCAUCAAGUGAUAGCUUUCUGUGUUCCGACCACUUUGAACCCUCUUGCUUUCAGAAGAAAAGUAAAAAUUAUAUAACUUUACCAAAAGGCAGUAUCCCAACGUUAUUUGGUAAGAUCUGAAACUGUUAAUCCCUUUUAGGUCAGAGAAAACUCAGUGUGCAUAAAGACACGUUGAUGUGAUGCACUAUUGCGUCAAUGCCGUUGAAGCGGUUAAUUACCUACAGAUUAUAAAGUGCUCUGUUACAGAAAAAUCGUGUGUGACACAUUUCUGUGUAUUUCCAUUGUCGUUAUUUAUUAGUAACUUAUCUGUACGUGAAAACUUGCAGCAGACCGAAUUUCAGGAUGAAUCCGAUCGGCCCACCACAGUGAAUGUAACCAAAUUACAUGAUCACCUACACAUUUGUACCUGAUUUGCAUACUCAGCUCCACUUUGAUGAUCAAUGGAUGGUAAAUGGAUUCCCUAACGGUUGAAUUAGUGUUAUACAAAUGUUUGAAUAAUCCGUAUGGAAUUCAGCCCACCAUAGGAUAAAGGAUAAUGGACGAAAACUUCUCAGAAUUGAGGACUUCUUUUGAACAUAAAGAAAAAUCACGCUUAAAUACAAGUUUUUCGUCAUAUUAUUUAAUGAUCUUUUACACCAUAUAAUUUUAAAUAA
RNAcentral lists this long non-coding RNA (2365 nucleotides) under Neodiprion lecontei (redheaded pine sawfly). Its description in RNAcentral is "uncharacterized LOC124293051". Lineage: Eukaryota; Metazoa; Arthropoda; Insecta; Hymenoptera; Diprionidae. The record is from RNAcentral.